CAGUCGCCGCGGUAAUCCGAAGGGGGCUAGCGUUGUUCGGAUUUACUGGGCGUAAAGGGCGCGUAGGCGGACUGAUAAGUCAGGGGUGAAAUCCCAAGGCUCAACCUUGGAACUGCCUUUGAUACUGUUUGUCUUGAGUUCGAGAGAGGUAAGUGGAACUGCGAGUGUAGAGGUGAAAUUCGUAGAUAUUCGCAAGAACACCAGUGGCGAAGGCGGCUUACUGGCUCGAAACUGACGCUGAGGCGCGAAAGCGUGGGGAGCAAACAGGAUUAGAUACCCCCGUAGUCCCUGUCUCUUAUAC
RNAcentral lists this ribosomal RNA (301 nucleotides) under uncultured bacterium. RNAcentral describes it as "partial 16S ribosomal RNA". It matches the Rfam family "Bacterial small subunit ribosomal RNA", at positions 509 to 807 of the family's 1533-position model. The record is from RNAcentral.